UCGGGCCUAUACGUGCCGUUGGGGCGAAGAGACAAAUAAUCUGUGUGGAUGUCCCAACAGUAGGAGGUCGCCCGUGGAACGCAGAAGUGCGGCUCCCGUGAGCCGGCUGAGACCGCCACGGCGCAGAUUUGGUGGAUAACAAUUACUCAAGUGAGAACUCUUGAAGGACUGAAUGUGAACAGGUUCCCAUGUGAACAGCAUUGAAUCAUGUCAGGCGGUCCUAACGAAUCGGGUAAAACCUCCGUACCCUAGAUCGAGGGUGAACAACAUCACUGAUAAACUGGUGAAGUGUUAAGCCCUCCGAGCGAAAAGGAAUCGUGUUAAUAUUCACGACCCUUAAACCUGAAUCGCCCCUUUCGGGGGGCAAUGCGGUAACGCAAACGAACACAGAGACUCGGCUGGAGCCCCGGAAAGAGUUCUCUUUUCUGUUGUAAGAGCGUACCCCCUGAAACGCUGUCCGGAGAUAGGGCCUGGCUUCCGUAAAGCAGCGCGGGUCUUGCGCUGUCCGCUGCACUCUAGUCGCCCCUUAAAAUCUGUGGGAACAUUGUGAUUUUCACGUAGCCGUACCAUAUCCGCAGCAGGUCUCCAAGUGAACAGCCUCUAGUCCUAGAAACAAUGUAGUAAGGGAAGUCGGCAAAAUGGAUCCGUAACUUCGGGAAAAAUGGCUCUGAGGCCUGUCGGAUGGCUGGCCGUAAGACUGUUCCGGUUGUGGAGGACUGUGAGACUUUCGGCUUACUCGACCAUCGCCGAACCAGCAGUAACCACGUCACUGUGCUUGUCGUGUUCGGCGCGGCAGCUUCGUCCGCAACAAACAGCCAACUCAGAACUGGCACGGACUAGAAACUAGGGCAUCCGACUGUCUAAUUAAAACAAGCAUUGCGAUGGCUGUUGCUCGUGUUGACGCGGCAAUGUGAUUUCGCCCAAUGCUCUGAAUGUCAAAGUGAAAAAUUCAAUCAACGCGGUAAACGGCGGAGUAACCUAACUCUCUAAGGUAGUCCAAAUCCUCGUCAUCUACAUUAUGACGCGCAUGAAUGGAUUAACGAGAUUCCCACUGUCCCUAUCUACUAUCUAGCGAAACCACAGCCAAGGUGAACGGGCUUGGCAGAAUCAGCGGGAAAGAAGACCCUGUUGAGCUUGACUCUAUCCGACUUUGUGAAGAACAUGAAGUGUACGUAUAGGUGGACGUCAGCGACUUUGAAAUACCACUACUUUUAUCGUUUCUUUACUUAUUCAUGAAGCCGGGAGCGGCCUUCACGGCCUCGUUCUGGUGUUAAACGAAUGGCCCUCCGCCCGCCGUGACCUGCUCUGAAGACAGUGUCAGGCGGGAGUUUGACUGGGGCGGUACAAUAUCUGUCAAAAGUAACGCAGAGGUUCCCAAAGAUGACUCAGUCAGACAGAAACCUGGCGUAGAGCAAAAGGGCAAAAGCUCAUUUAAUUUUGAUUUCAGUACGAAAUACAGACCGUGAAAGCGCGCCUAAUCGAUCCCUUGAUUAAUCAGAGUUUGAUGCAAGGGUUCAGAAAAGUUACCACAGGGAUAACUGGCUUUUGUGCGGCCCGAAGCGUUCAUAGCGACGUUCGCUUUUUGAUCCUUCGAUGUCGCUCUUCCUAUCAUUGUGAACAGAAUUCACCAAAGCGUUGAUUGUUCACCCACCAAGUAGGAACGUGAGCUGGGUUUAGACCGUCGUGGAGACAGUUAGUUUUACCCUACUGAUUCUUGUCGUUGCUAUGGAAAUCCUGCUUAGUACGAGAGGAACCGCAGGUCAGACAUUUGGUUUAUGUGCUGUCGAAAGACCAAUGGUGCGAAGCUACCAUCUGAGAUUAAGACUGAAAGCCUCUUAAGUCUGAAUCCCGCCCAGAAAUGCAAACGAUACUAUCGUGCCCCCUACCCGGACAACCCGCAUAUACUCGGCCCGAAAUCCGAUUCGGCGGCCGAGACUGGCUAAAGCCACUGCGAUACUGGCCACACCCCUGUCUUGAAAUUGCAGUGGAGCACAGACACGAUAACCACUUGAUUGAGACGUAGGGUUCUAUAUCGUUUUGUAACGACUUAGAUCUCGGUCGGGGUGCCGUACUUAGUUGAGCAGUUCUUCACUGCGAUCUAUUGAGGCUAAGCCUUUUGACGGGAAUAUUC
This is a non-coding RNA of Macrostomum lignano, 2131 nucleotides long. NCBI's taxonomy places the organism in Eukaryota, Metazoa, Platyhelminthes, Macrostomidae. The record is from Rfam.